CCUACGGGUGGCAGCAGUGAGGAAUAUUGGUCAAUGGUCGGAAGACUGAACCAGCCAAGCCGCGUGAGGGAUGAAGGUACAGCGUAUCGUAAACCUCUUUUGUCAGGGAACAAAGACUGGCACUCGUCCCCGGAUGCGUGUACCUGAAGAAAAAGCAUCGGCUAACUCCGUGCCAGCAGCCGCGGUAAUACGGAGGGUGCGAGCGUUAUCCGGAUUUAUUGGGUUUAAAGGGUGCGUAGGCGGUCGUUUAAGUCAGCGGUCAAAGCCCGGGGCUCAACCCCGGCCCGCCGUUGAAACUGGAAGUCUUGAGUUGGAGAGAAGCAUGCGGAAUGCGCGGUGUAGCGGUGAAAUGCAUAGAUAUCGCGAAGAACCCCGAUUGCGAAGGCAGCAUGCCGGCGCCAGACUGACGCUGAGGCACGAAAGCGUGGGUAUCGAACAGGAUUAGAUACCCGAGUAGUC
Molecule: ribosomal RNA, 459 nt
Filed under: uncultured bacterium
Lineage: Bacteria
Description: partial 16S ribosomal RNA
Rfam family: Bacterial small subunit ribosomal RNA
Source: RNAcentral